Non-coding RNA from Doryrhamphus excisus (bluestripe pipefish), 1200 nucleotides. The record is from RefSeq and is a predicted model, not a curated record. NCBI's taxonomy places the organism in Eukaryota, Metazoa, Chordata, Actinopteri, Syngnathiformes, Syngnathidae.
AAGAAAAGUUUCAUACGCAUCGAGUGGGUUGCUACGAUAUUGUAUGUGUCAAGGCUGCGCUGUCGAACAUUGUUUUUGGUGCCUGUUUCCCAAUUAGUGCGUGUGUGAAGGGAUUAAGGAGAAAAACUAACUAAAAUGUCUUUGUCGAAAGGCGGUUUAUGAAAGAGCUGGGUCAGGGUUACUGGCAUCUAACAUGGGCUGGAGGAUACGCCGUCGAGCGUUGAUGAACCUGAAAUUGAGGCAAAGGACAAGGCUGAUGCUGGGACGUUUUGUGACCGAGAUGUGGUGUCAGCAUAUUGGAAAGAAAGCAGAUUUGAAACCUGCACUGGGUGCCACAAUCCCUGAAGAGUUGACGGAGUUGGACACGGACGUCAUGGACGGAGAGGAGGUCUGAAUUAGUUCCUUUGGGGGGGGGAUCACAGACAAAAACACGGCAGAUCUUCAUAGGCUGUAUCUAACAGGCACGUGAUGUAGCGGUUGCAGAAAUCCUUACAGAGUUCGUUGACUUUCUCCAGCUCGAGCAGGUGGAUCCGCAACACUUGAAUGGCUUUGACCAUCUGAGGGUUCGAGAGGCAAAAUUUCAGUCACGAUUCAGCACAGCAAGCGACCUCACACAGACAGAAGCGUGGUUGUAGCGUAAGCCUGGGACUCCGAUUCCAUCCGUUCUAUCAAUCAUCGACAUUAUCAUCCAUCGGCGGUGAGUACCAGUACUUUUUAUACUUUAUGUGUUGUGUGAGGCUGGAUUAACUUAGCUUUCACACUAAUAUACUGUACAUGCACAACUCUUCAACCCGCAAGGCAUGCCGGGUAACCUCACAGUAGCUACUCUUGUCCCUUUUUCUAGUUUAGCAUGACAUCUCCAUUAUUAUUUGAGUAUAAGUCAAUGAUGGAAAUGCUAUAUAUAUGAAGGUGUUUCAUUGACUUGACCACAUUCAUUACUGUCAAUGCAUAAAUCAAAUUGGAAUGAAAAGGAACGUUGUAUUGUAAACGUGUGCACUUUUGAACCUUCUACCUUCAAGACAAAAACAAAACCUCAACAACUGAAAUGACCUUUGCACAGAAGUAAGGAUUAAGGUAGAUGGGGUAUGAAAAGGCAUGCAUUUUCAUUAGCGGGAAUAGAACGGCACUGUGCGCAUCGCUGCCUGGUCGUCAUCAUGUAAUGUGUGUUUUCCAGUCGCCUACAAUAUCUUUUCCAACCAU